RNAcentral lists this ribosomal RNA (1524 nucleotides) under Salmonella enterica. RNAcentral describes it as "partial 16S ribosomal RNA". It matches the Rfam family "Bacterial small subunit ribosomal RNA". Lineage: Bacteria; Pseudomonadati; Pseudomonadota; Gammaproteobacteria; Enterobacterales; Enterobacteriaceae. RNAcentral also lists the same sequence under 1 other name. The record is from RNAcentral.
AAAUUGAAGAGUUUGAUCAUGGCUCAGAUUGAACGCUGGCGGCAGGCCUAACACAUGCAAGUCGAACGGUAACAGGAAGCAGCUUGCUGCUUUGCUGACGAGUGGCGGACGGGUGAGUAAUGUCUGGGAAACUGCCUGAUGGAGGGGGAUAACUACUGGAAACGGUGGCUAAUACCGCAUAACGUCGCAAGACCAAAGAGGGGGACCUUCGGGCCUCUUGCCAUCAGAUGUGCCCAGAUGGGAUUAGCUUGUUGGUGAGGUAACGGCUCACCAAGGCGACGAUCCCUAGCUGGUCUGAGAGGAUGACCAGCCACACUGGAACUGAGACACGGUCCAGACUCCUACGGGAGGCAGCAGUGGGGAAUAUUGCACAAUGGGCGCAAGCCUGAUGCAGCCAUGCCGCGUGUAUGAAGAAGGCCUUCGGGUUGUAAAGUACUUUCAGCGGGGAGGAAGGUGUUGUGGUUAAUAACCACAGCAAUUGACGUUACCCGCAGAAGAAGCACCGGCUAACUCCGUGCCAGCAGCCGCGGUAAUACGGAGGGUGCAAGCGUUAAUCGGAAUUACUGGGCGUAAAGCGCACGCAGGCGGUCUGUCAAGUCGGAUGUGAAAUCCCCGGGCUCAACCUGGGAACUGCAUUCGAAACUGGCAGGCUUGAGUCUUGUAGAGGGGGGUAGAAUUCCAGGUGUAGCGGUGAAAUGCGUAGAGAUCUGGAGGAAUACCGGUGGCGAAGGCGGCCCCCUGGACAAAGACUGACGCUCAGGUGCGAAAGCGUGGGGAGCAAACAGGAUUAGAUACCCUGGUAGUCCACGCCGUAAACGAUGUCUACUUGGAGGUUGUGCCCUUGAGGCGUGGCUUCCGGAGCUAACGCGUUAAGUAGACCGCCUGGGGAGUACGGCCGCAAGGUUAAAACUCAAAUGAAUUGACGGGGGCCCGCACAAGCGGUGGAGCAUGUGGUUUAAUUCGAUGCAACGCGAAGAACCUUACCUGGUCUUGACAUCCACAGAACUUUCCAGAGAUGGAUUGGUGCCUUCGGGAACUGUGAGACAGGUGCUGCAUGGCUGUCGUCAGCUCGUGUUGUGAAAUGUUGGGUUAAGUCCCGCAACGAGCGCAACCCUUAUCCUUUGUUGCCAGCGAUUAGGUCGGGAACUCAAAGGAGACUGCCAGUGAUAAACUGGAGGAAGGUGGGGAUGACGUCAAGUCAUCAUGGCCCUUACGACCAGGGCUACACACGUGCUACAAUGGCGCAUACAAAGAGAAGCGACCUCGCGAGAGCAAGCGGACCUCAUAAAGUGCGUCGUAGUCCGGAUUGGAGUCUGCAACUCGACUCCAUGAAGUCGGAAUCGCUAGUAAUCGUGGAUCAGAAUGCCACGGUGAAUACGUUCCCGGGCCUUGUACACACCGCCCGUCACACCAUGGGAGUGGGUUGCAAAAGAAGUAGGUAGCUUAACCUUCGGGAGGGCGCUUACCACUUUGUGAUUCAUGACUGGGGUGAAGUCGUAACAAGGUAACCGUAGGGGAACCUGC